UGGCCGGUACAAAGAGAAGCGAGGCUGUGAAGCGGAGCAAAUCUCAAAAACCGGUCCCAGUUCGGAUUGUAGGCUGUAACCCGCCUACAUGAAGUCGGAGUUGCUAGUAAUCGCGGAUCAGAAUGCCGCGGUGAAUGCGUUCCCGGGUCUUGUACACACCGCCCGUCACACCAUGGAAGUUGGGGGCGCCCGAAGUUGCCUAAGAAAUAAGGUACCCUAAGGCGAAACCAAUGACUGGGUGAAGUCGUAACAAGGUAGC
RNAcentral lists this ribosomal RNA (259 nucleotides) under uncultured bacterium. Its description in RNAcentral is "partial 16S ribosomal RNA". It matches the Rfam family "Bacterial small subunit ribosomal RNA", at positions 1231 to 1500 of the family's 1533-position model. The record is from RNAcentral.